RNAcentral lists this ribosomal RNA (494 nucleotides) under uncultured bacterium. Its description in RNAcentral is "partial 16S ribosomal RNA". It matches the Rfam family "Bacterial small subunit ribosomal RNA", at positions 28 to 507 of the family's 1533-position model. The record is from RNAcentral.
GACGAACGCUGGCGGCGUGCUUAACACAUGCAAGUCGAACGGAAAGGCCUGCUUUCCCUUGUGGAUUGCGGGUACUCGAGUGGCGAACGGGUGAGUAACACGUGAGUGAUCUGCCCCCAACUUGGGUAUAAGCCUGGGAAACUGGGUCUAAUUCCCGAUAGGACUGCAGGGUGGUGCCUGUGGUGGAAAACGAUUUUCUAGUGGUUGGGGAUGAGCUCGCGGCCUAUCAGCUUGUUGGUGGGGUAAUGGCCUACCAAGGCGGCGACGGGUAGCCGGCCUGAGAGGGUGGACGGCCACAUUGGGACUGAGAUACGGCCCAGAAUCCUACGGGAGGCAGCAGUGGGGAAUAUUGCGCAAUGGGCGGAAGCCUGAUGCAGCGACGCCGCGUGGGGGAUGACGGCCUUCGGGUUGUAAACUCCUUUCGACCGCGAGGAAGCCACCUGGUUGGAAGGGUGGUGACGGUAGUGGUAGAAGAAGCACCGGCUAACUACGUG